RNAcentral lists this ribosomal RNA (301 nucleotides) under uncultured bacterium. Its description in RNAcentral is "partial 16S ribosomal RNA". It matches the Rfam family "Archaeal small subunit ribosomal RNA", at positions 459 to 759 of the family's 1478-position model. The record is from RNAcentral.
CAGUCGCCGCGGUAAUACCAGCAGCCCAAGUGGUGGUCGCGCUUAUUGGGCCUAAAGCGCUCGUAGCCUGGCCGGUAAGUUCCCCGUGAAAUCGGGUCGCCCAACGAUUCGGCUUGCGGGGAAUACUGUCGGUCUUGGGGCCGGGAGACGCCGAGGGUACUCCGGGGGUAGCGGUGAAAUGCUGUAAUCCUCGGGGGACUACCAGUGGCGAAGGCGCUCGGCGAUAACGGGCCUGACGGUGAGGGGCGAAAGCUGGGGGCGCGAACGGGAUUAGAUACCCCUGUAGUCCCUGUCUCUUAUA